Molecule: ribosomal RNA, 497 nt
Filed under: uncultured bacterium
Lineage: Bacteria
Description: partial 16S ribosomal RNA
Rfam family: Bacterial small subunit ribosomal RNA
Source: RNAcentral
GAUGAACGCUGGCGGCGUGCCUAAUACAUGCAAGUCGAGCGAACAGACGAGGAUCUUGCUCCUCUGACGUUAGCGGCGGACGGGUGAGUAACACGUGGAUAACCUACCUAUAAGACUGGGAUACCUUCGGGAAACCGGAGCUAAUACCGGAUAAUAUAUUGAACCGCAUGGUUCAAUAGUGAAAGACGGUUUUGCUGUCACUUAUAGAUGGAUCCGCGCCGCAUUAGCUAGUUGGUAAGGUAACGGCUUACCAAGGCAACGAUGCGUAGCCGACCUGAGAGGGUGAUCGGCCACACUGGAACUGAGACACGGUCCAGACUCCUACGGGAGGCAGCAGUAGGGAAUAUUCCGCAAUGGGCGAAAGCCUGACGGAGCAACGCCGCGUGAGUGAUGAAGGUCUUCGGAUCGUAAAACUCUGUUAGUAGGGAAGAACAAAUGUGUAAGUAACUAUGGACGUCUUGACGGUACCUAAACAGAAAGCCCCGGCUAACUACGUG